AGAGUAGGUCACAGUUAGAGAAGUCUUUCUGUACUUAAUGUUUUAGUUUUUACUUCCAUGUGAGAGGGGAAAUGCUGAUGAUUUCCAGAACAAGUCUUCUGAAUAAUGUGGAUGACCAAAGACAGAACUAUCUAUAAUCAAAAAUCAGCAUGGCUGACAUGGACAACUGAGCAGCAGACAGUAGAUCCAACCACAGAGUUGAUGGUUUUGAGGAAGACAAGUAACUUCAUUGCUUGUCUACUCUGCAGAGAAAGGGGACAAAGUUUGCACAUGGAUUCAGGUAAUGAUUUGUGUCUGCAUGGGACAUUGGAAGCCAUUGGCUUGCAUGAUUUUGUGUUUGAUAUAUAAAUAUGGGUCAGUGUGGUCUGUUGGUUGAUGAUUUAUGUGGAUAGGUUUAUUUGUGCCUUCUGAAAAUAGAAAAGGGCAAAGAACUUGUGUUAUGAGAGAGUAAAUUACAGAAUCUUCUGGUCAUG
Long non-coding RNA from Mastomys coucha (southern multimammate mouse), 473 nucleotides. RefSeq lists it as uncharacterized. The record is from RefSeq and is a predicted model, not a curated record. The transcript is spliced from 3 exons. NCBI's taxonomy places the organism in Eukaryota, Metazoa, Chordata, Mammalia, Rodentia, Muridae.